RNAcentral lists this unclassified non-coding RNA (318 nucleotides) under uncultured fungus. Its description in RNAcentral is "sequence contains ITS1". The stretch from base 1 to 105 matches the Rfam family "5.8S ribosomal RNA", at positions 50 to 154 of the family's 154-position model. The record is from RNAcentral. Lineage: Eukaryota; Fungi.
GAAAUGCGAUAAGUAAUGUGAAUUGCAGAAUUCAGUGAAUCAUCGAAUCUUUGAACGCACAUUGCGCCCGCCGGUAUUCCGGCGGGCAUGCCUGUUCGAGCGUCAUUUCAACCCUCAAGCCCAGCUUGGUGUUGGGGCACCCGGCCGCCUGACGGCCCCGGGGCCCUCAAGUAUAUCGGCGGUCUCGUCGGGACUUUGAGCGCAGUAACUCGCGGUAAAACGCGCCUCGCUUGGUUAGUCCCCGGCGGGUUCCGGCCGCUAAGCCCCCCCUCUUUCAGAGUUGACCUCGGAUCAGGUAGGAAUACCCGCUGAACUUAA